This 459-nucleotide ribosomal RNA is filed under the name uncultured bacterium. Its description in RNAcentral is "partial 16S ribosomal RNA". It matches the Rfam family "Bacterial small subunit ribosomal RNA", at positions 338 to 795 of the family's 1533-position model. The record is from RNAcentral.
CCUACGGGAGGCUGCAGUGAGGAAUAUUGGUCAAUGGCCGGAAGGCUGAACCAGCCAAGCCGCGUGAAUGACGAAGGUGCCAAGCAUUGUAAACUUCUUUUGUCAAGGGACAAAAUCAGGCUCGAGAGCCUGACCGAGCGUCCUUGAAGAAACCGCAUCGGCUAACUCCGUGCCAGCAGCCGCGGUAAUACGGAGGAUGCGAGCGUUAUCCGGAUUUCUUGGGUUUAAAGGGUGAGUAGGCGGGCUGUUAGGUCAGCGGUAAAAGCCCGGGGUUAAACCCCGGAGAGCCGUUGAAACUGGAUGGCUGGAGAUGUCGAGAGGUAUGCGGAAUGCGCAGUGUAGCGGUGAAAUGCUUAGAGAUUGCGCAGAACUCCGAUUGCGAAGGCAGCAUUCCGGCGGCGAUCUGACGCUGAGGCACGAAAGCGUGGGGAUCGAACAGGAUUAGAUACCCGGGUAGUC